GCUUUGGGACCACAGUUGACUGUGGGUAACUGAAACCUUUGAGAGCAAAAUCAAAACCGCAGGUAAGAGGGAACUGCUGCAGUUGUGUGCCUAGCAUCGUACUCAGAGCCCCAGCGAAGGUGGAAGGAGUACGUAAGGCACUUCCAUGCCUGAUAGACGACGUUUCACCUCCUGUGGUCACCAUGCGCAGGUACAGCAAAAUUCAUGGGCCCCAUGUAAGUUCAGAAGAAAGAGUUCGUGCAGCUUGCCAAUCCUUAUAAAUCAGGCCACAACACAACCAAAUCAUGACUUUUUCUACAAGAGCACAGAAGAACUUUUAAUCAGUCCAUACUUCAUAGAAACUCAUAGGAUGUUAGUGAUUGCUGUCAGCUACCAGUGCAAUGGGAGGUCAACCUGAGAUGUCUCAAUAUUUUAUUCUGCUCUGGAAUUUGUUCCAACAAUUGUCUCUCCAGGUCCUGCCACACCUGCUGUAGUUAUCUGAGACCCUGGCCUGGACCUCAGAGGACAUUCUGCAUUACCUCAACCCAAGAGAAAAGAUAAUUAUCACUUUGGUGCUCCUCUUUGCCGGUGGACAGCACUGGACUAGAAAUUUACAUCUCAAACCCAGCACACUGGUUACGCUCAGGAGAAGGGGAAACAAGUAGCACUCGGGAGGAUAUUUAACAGGGUCUUUCUUUCAGUAAGGUUUAAUUGUAUUAA
Long non-coding RNA from Mustela erminea (ermine), 699 nucleotides. RefSeq lists it as uncharacterized. NCBI's taxonomy places the organism in Eukaryota, Metazoa, Chordata, Mammalia, Carnivora, Mustelidae. The transcript is spliced from 4 exons. The record is from RefSeq and is a predicted model, not a curated record.